This 707-nucleotide long non-coding RNA is filed under the name Theobroma cacao (cacao). Its description in RNAcentral is "long non-coding RNA (TCAC_LNC002816)". The record is from RNAcentral. Lineage: Eukaryota; Viridiplantae; Streptophyta; Magnoliopsida; Malvales; Malvaceae.
CAGAACUAGUCACUCAAACCCUAGGUUUGCACCACUUGAAGUAGUUACACUACGAAGAUGAUCCGAGGUAACCUACUUUGUAUUGCUUAAGAAGAAAACUGGUUGUGCUUGCAUUUGCAGAUGAAUUUUCUCAUUCUCUGGCAGUUCAUGCAUCGAUUGUGCUGAAAUUUCUUAUUGGUGUUUCUUGAAGGACAUGAUUUUGCAGGUUCAAGUUGUAUCAAGCAGUGCAGUUUCUUCGUAUACAGACAUUACAUGACCUAAUAGCCUAUAUACUAGUAAUGCGGCCAACACUGAGAAGUCCAAAACAUCUUUGCCAUCUUAUGUCGAGCAUUCUAAUUCAAAACCAUUUUAUUUCCCUUCAAAACUUGAACAUUUCUGACAUGCUUAUAAGAUCCUGCAAGCAAUAUUCUUGACAAAUUUCCUACUUUUAUUGCGGAGGUUCUAAGUAAGAUAUUAAUACAUAAAUUUGUGAAUGCCCUUCAGCCUUGGCAUAGGUGGUAGAAGCGAUCUGUUGGCUUGAGGGAGUGUAGUUGAAUUGGAAAAGGUGUUGGGUUUAAAUCCUCCAAAAACUUUAAUAGUCCUACCAUUCUUAUGAAUCACUUUUCUUGGCUUCCUGCAGCACCCCGAUGGCCUCUUCCUUGGUCUCACUGAAGUCACUGCCAUCCUUGAAGAUGAGAAACUCCAUCAUCUCCACAUGGAAGAAAAUA